AACGAACGCUGGCGGCAUGCCUAACACAUGCAAGUCGAACGAGACCUUCGGGUCUAGUGGCGCACGGGUGCGUAACGCGUGGGAACCUGCCCUUAGGUUCGGAAUAACUCCCCGAAAGGGGUGCUAAUACCGGAUAAUGUCUUCGGACCAAAGAUUUAUCGCCUUUGGAUGGGCCCGCGUUGGAUUAGCUAGUUGGUAGGGUAAAAGCCUACCAAGGCGACGAUCCAUAGCUGGUCUGAGAGGAUGACCAGCCACAUUGGGACUGAGACACGGCCCAGCCCCUACCGGGAGGCGGGGGUGGGGAUUUUUGAACAAUGGCCGAACGCCUAAUCCCGCACUCCCGCGGGAGUGUUGAGGCCCUUGGGUUUUUAAAUCUUUUUUCCCCGGGAUGAUAAUGACCGUCCCGGGAAAAUAAGCUCCGCCUAACCCCGUC
Molecule: ribosomal RNA, 433 nt
Filed under: uncultured bacterium
Lineage: Bacteria
Description: partial 16S ribosomal RNA
Rfam family: Bacterial small subunit ribosomal RNA
Source: RNAcentral